AGUGAAAUGUGUUUUUUUACGGGAUCAGCCAUAAUAGUACGGUGCUCCUGGAGCAAAUUAGCGAUUAAAGUUCCUCGCUCAAGGGCACAUCGACAGAUUUCUCACCUCGUCGGCUCGGGUAUUCGAACCAGCGACCUUUCAGUUACUGGCAAAGGGGUAACAUCCCGGCUCUAUGUACAUAUACUGUACCAUGCAGGGUUCAAUCCCUGACAUCGUCUUUCCAACUUUUUAUCCAACUAUCCCACUCUUAUUUAGCACAAAAAAAAGAGAUUAGAGGGCUUCAGAUUAUUCAACACAAAAACCCAAGGCAACCAACCAGCUGCAAUACGAUUUCUAGUUACAUUUGGGCAUGUUGAAUUGUAUUUUCAAUCAACCUAAAAUUCAAGCAAAUUUKUGAAUGUUGGUUGAGCUAAUAUGCCCAAAUGUUGCGCAAACAACAAAUGCUAUUGCAUCUGGUUGCCCUGAUUUUUGAAGCUGAAUCAACAAAAGAAAUUUACAGUGUGGGUAACUAGAUCAGAUGUUUGACAAUUUUCACUUCAAAUCUAGAGUGAAAUCCAGGUUGUGGUUUCCACUUUGAAGAACAAACUAGAAAACAAGAACACAGCCAAGAUGUGUCAUCAAAGCUGGGUGGAGCACAUAAAGGGCCAGGCCCAAUUUGCAGAGGAGCAGAUCAGCAGGGAGUUUAAGAAACUCCACCAUUUCCUAGAUGAGGAAGAGACAGCCAGGAUAGCUACCCUGAGAGAGGAAGAAUGGCAUAAAUCUGAAGUGAUGGAAGAAAAAGCUGAGGCAUUGACCAGAGAGCUCACAACCCUUUCAGAGACGAUUGUAGUUAUCGAUAAGGAAAWGGAAGUUGACAAUAUCACAUUCCWGCAGGUAAGGGGUCUGUCAAAAUGUUAAAAAUCCCAUUGCUGUUAAACUGUUUCUCUCACAGUCGCCUGAUAUUAAAAGUGACGUUUGUCCUCGUUCUUUUUUUUAGAACUACAAGGCCAUACUUAACAGGUAAAUCACUUUUUUUUUUUAAGUGUCUAAAUUAUAAUAAUUUUUUCCAUUCCACUGACGCCAUCCAUUUUUUUACCAUAGAGCCGAUUGCACAUUCCCAGAUACUGAAGAUACUCAGGUAGUAUCAUGAGCACUGAUUGAUGUGGCCAAACAUGUGUGAUCUCUCAAGUUCAAAAUCUGGGAGAAGAUGCUUGAGUUUGUUGACUACACUCCUGUGACCAUGGAUCCGAACACAAUGUCCACUAAGUUCACACUCUCUGAUGACCUCACCACUAUGACAUACKGUGACGAGAGGCAGAGUCUCCCAGACAAUCCCGAAAGGUUUCAUAAUGUAGGAGUGUUGGGWUCUGAAGGGUACAGUAAMGSCAUCCAUUACUGGGAUGUGGAGGUUGGAGAUAAUGAUAACUGGAUCUUAGGAGUAGCCAAAGAGUCCAUUCCACGCAAGACGCAAGUCAAAAUGGAGCCUCAGAGUGGAUUGUGGAUCAUCAAACACAUCAGUGGGAAAUACAAAGCAGGUUUAAAAAUYGCUUGUCCAGAUUAAAGUAGAUSAGAGCCCACGAGUGAUCCGAGUACGACUGGGCUGUGACAAGGGGGAGGUGACAUUCUGCGACCUCACCAAGAACACUACUCUCUACACCUUCAAAGACAAAUUCACUGAAAAGGUGUUCCCAUACUUUAAUAGUGGAAGUUAGAUUUGCCCACUGCGCCUUUUUGUAGCGGGAAAAGCGAACACUAGCUAAUUGCCAGGGUSAAGUGAGGACAAAAUGUACAAACAUAUGCAAUUAUGUAAUGACUUUAUGUACUGACAUUAGCUGGAAGGUUGUGAAAAUUGUUUGACUAAAACUCCAUGUAGUUAAAACCUCUUAAGGAUCGGACCCUUUUCAAUUGUUGCCUAAAAUUACAUACUCAAAUUUAACUGCCU
This is a non-coding RNA of Salvelinus sp. IW2-2015, 1921 nucleotides long. NCBI's taxonomy places the organism in Eukaryota, Metazoa, Chordata, Actinopteri, Salmoniformes, Salmonidae. The record is from RefSeq and is a predicted model, not a curated record.